AGUGAACGCUGGCGGUAGGCCUAACACAUGCAAGUCGAACGGCAGCACAGUAAGAGCUUGCUCUUACGGGUGGCGAGUGGCGGACGGGUGAGGAAUACAUCGGAAUCUACUUUUUCGUGGGGGAUAACGUAGGGAAACUUACGCUAAUACCGCAUACGACCUACGGGUGAAAGCAGGGGAUCUUCGGACCUUGCGCGAUUGAAUGAGCCGAUGUCGGAUUAGCUAGUUGGCGGGGUAAAGGCCCACCAAGGCGACGAUCCGUAGCUGGUCUGAGAGGAUGAACGGCACCCCUGAAAAUGAAACACGGUCCAAACCCCUGGGGGGGGCAACGGUGGGGAAUUUUGGAAAAUGGGGGAAAGCCUAAUCCAGCCAUACCGGGGGGGGGAAGAAGGCCUUGGGGUUGAAAAGCCCUUUUUUUGGGAAAAAAAAGCAGCAGGUUAAUACCCCGCUGUUUUGACGGUCCCCAAAAAAUAAGCCCCGGCUAACUUCGG
Molecule: ribosomal RNA, 491 nt
Filed under: uncultured bacterium
Lineage: Bacteria
Description: partial 16S ribosomal RNA
Rfam family: Bacterial small subunit ribosomal RNA
Source: RNAcentral